Molecule: ribosomal RNA, 251 nt
Filed under: uncultured prokaryote
Description: partial 16S rRNA
Rfam family: Bacterial small subunit ribosomal RNA
Source: RNAcentral
ACGAAGGGAGCUAGCGUUGUUCGGAAUUACUGGGCGUAAAGGGCGCGUAGGCGGUUUGACAAGUCAGAUGUGAAAGCCCAGGGCUCAACCCUGGAACUGCGUUUGAUACUGUCUUUCUUGAAUUCGGGAGAGGUAAGUGGAAUUCCCAGUGUAGAGGUGAAAUUCGUAGAGAUUGGGAAGAACACCAGUGGCGAAGGCGGCUUACUGGACCGAUAUUGACGCUGAGGCGCGAAAGUGUGGGGAGCAAACAG